Molecule: long non-coding RNA, 452 nt
Filed under: Mytilus galloprovincialis (Mediterranean mussel)
Lineage: Eukaryota; Metazoa; Mollusca; Bivalvia; Mytilida; Mytilidae
Source: RNAcentral
CUAAACUGUUGGGACCAAAACCCCCAAAAAUCAAUCCCUACCUAACUUUUUUGGUCAUGAACCUUGUGCUUAAAUUUUAUAUAUUUCUAUUUACUUUUACUAAAGUUAACGGGUGAAAACCAAAAAAAAAUGCUUAUUUAUGCCCCUUUUUGGCCCCUAAUUCCUAAUCUUUGAGACCCAAACCCCCAAAAUCAAUCCCAACCUUCCUUUUGUGGUCAUGAACCUUGUGUUUAAAUUUUAUAGAUUUCUAUUUACUUAUACUAAAGUGAUUGAGCGAAAACCAAAAUCAACUGCUUACAAAAUGUAUUUGAGCUCCUUUUUGGCCCUUUUUUCAAAAGCAGUUGGGACCAAAACCCCCAAAAUCAAUCUCAACCUUCCUUUUGAGGUCAUGAAACUUAUGUUUAAAUUUCAUAAAUUUCUAUUCACUUAUACUAAAGUUAUUGUGCAAAAAC